GAUGAACGCUGGCGGCGUGCCUAAUACAUGCAAGUCGAGCGAACAGACGAGGAGCUUGCUCCUCUGACGUUAGCGGCGGACGGGUGAGUAACACGUGGAUAACCUACCUAUAAGACUGGGAUAACUUCGGGAAACCGGAGCUAAUACCGGAUAAUAUAUUGAACCGCAUGGUUCAAUAGUGAAAGACGGUUUUGCUGUCACUUAUAGAUUGAUCCGCGCCGCAUUAGCUAGUUGGUAAGGUAACGGCUUACCAAGGCAACGAUGCGUAGCCGACCUGAGAGGGUGAUCGGCCACACUGGAACUGAGACACGGACCAGACUCCUACGGGAGGCAGCAGUAGGGAAUCUUCCGCAAUGGGCGAAAGCUUGACGGAGCAACGCCGCGUGAGUGAUGAAGGUCUUCGGAUCGUAAAACUCUGUUAUUAGGGAAGAACAAAUGUGUAAGUAACUAUGCACGUCUUGACGGUACCUAAUCAGAAAGCCACGGCUAACUACGUG
RNAcentral lists this ribosomal RNA (497 nucleotides) under uncultured bacterium. RNAcentral's name for it is "partial 16S ribosomal RNA". It matches the Rfam family "Bacterial small subunit ribosomal RNA", at positions 28 to 507 of the family's 1533-position model. The record is from RNAcentral.